UCCCAACUUCUUCCUCUCCUUCCCCGAUCCCCUCUGCUCACGCUGCCUCUCGCUCGCGGACGAAUCGGCGCCGAUAGGAACGGAGCUUCGACCUCCGGCGAUCUUCCUCCGCCGGCAUCGACGCCUAGUAAGCCCAGAUCCAGCCGAGGCCCUUCUCCUUCUAGCUCUGAUCUCUUCUCCUCGCCACUGGUUCUCUCACGAGGAUGAGCCGACGCUAUUGAAUCGAGCCCGAUCCACUCGAUCGCCGGUGUGGAGGAGGCAGUUAGGGCUUCGGUGGUUAUGGAUUUGGAGACAUUGGGGAUCAGUGAGGGAAGAAAUCCAGCAGGGAAGCUGUGUUCUGGAGGUGAUCAAAGGUGAUCUUGGGUUCCAGCAGUGAUGAUCCUCGGUUAUGGAUCAAUUGAUGAGGGUUGUGAGAUGAAUUGUGUGUUGUGGAUCCACAAGCGUGGCUAUGAAGUUUUGUUAUGUGCUGUGGUGUUCUUUAAUCCUUUCUUGGUUCCGGCAGCACACUAACCAGCAACCUCCUAGUUCCAACAUCAACAAUAGCUGGGAUUGAGGACGCUGAUUCGAGACGGGCGUCUCGACUUCGGAUUUUGAUUGACUGUACCUUCUAUUUAA
Zingiber officinale is the source of this 615-nucleotide long non-coding RNA. RefSeq lists it as uncharacterized. NCBI's taxonomy places the organism in Eukaryota, Viridiplantae, Streptophyta, Magnoliopsida, Zingiberales, Zingiberaceae. The record is from RefSeq and is a predicted model, not a curated record. The transcript has 4 exons.